AGUGAGCGCUGGCGGUAGGCCUAACACAUGCAAGUCGAACGGCAGCACAGUAAGAGCUUGCUCUUACGGGUGGCGAGUGGCGGACGGGUGAGGAAUACAUCGGAAUCUACUUUUUCGUGGGGGAUAACGUAGGGAAACUUACGCUAAUACCGCAUACGACCUACGGGUGAAAGCAGGGGAUCUUCGGACCUUGCGCGAUUGAAUGAGCCGAUGUCGGAUUAGCUAGUUGGCGGGGUGAAGGCCCACCAAGGCGACGAUCCGUAGCUGGUCUGAGAGGAUGAUCAGCCACACUGGAACUGAGACACGGUCCAGACUCCUACGGGAGGCAGCAGUGGGGAAUAUUGGACAAUGGGCGCAAGCCUGAUCCAGCCAUACCGCGUGGGUGAAGAAGGCCUUCGGGUUGUAAAGCCCUUUUGUUGGGAAAGAAAAGCAGCAGGUUAAUACCCCGCUGUUCUGACGGUACCCAAAGAAUAAGCACCGGCUAACUUCGUG
RNAcentral lists this ribosomal RNA (492 nucleotides) under uncultured bacterium. RNAcentral's name for it is "partial 16S ribosomal RNA". It matches the Rfam family "Bacterial small subunit ribosomal RNA", at positions 29 to 507 of the family's 1533-position model. The record is from RNAcentral.